Molecule: ribosomal RNA, 497 nt
Filed under: uncultured bacterium
Lineage: Bacteria
Description: partial 16S ribosomal RNA
Rfam family: Bacterial small subunit ribosomal RNA
Source: RNAcentral
GAUGAACGCUGGCGGCGUGCCUAAUACAUGCAAGUCGAGCGAACAGAUAAGGAGCUUGCUCCUUUGACGUUAGCGGCGGACGGGUGAGUAACACGUGGGUAACCUACCUAUAAGACUGGGAUAACUUCGGGAAACCGGAGCUAAUACCGGAUAAUAUUUCGAACCGCAUGGUUCGAUAGUGAAAGAUGGUUUUGCUAUCACUUAUAUAUGGACCCGCGCCGUAUUAGCUAGUUGGUAAGGUAACGGCUUACCAAGGCGACGAUACGUAGCCGACCUGAGAGGGUGAUCGGCCACACUGGAACUGAGACACGGUCCAGACUCCUACGGGAGGCAGCCGUAGGGAAUCUUCCGCAAUGGGCGAAAGCCUGACGGAGCAACGCCGCGUGAGUGAUGAAGGUCUUCGGAUCGUAAAACUCUGUUAUUAGGGAAGAACAUACGUGUAAGUAACUGUGCACGGCUUGACGGUACCUAAUCAGAAAGCCACGGCUAACUACGUG